This is a non-coding RNA of Candidatus Magnetomorum sp. HK-1, 266 nucleotides long. The record is from Rfam. NCBI's taxonomy places the organism in Bacteria, Pseudomonadati, Thermodesulfobacteriota, Desulfobacteria, Desulfobacterales, Candidatus Magnetomoraceae.
AAAGUCCCACCUGCUCUCAGUUAACCUUCUGAUGGGCAGUAGUGAACUCCACACGCAUCUCAGUGAUGCGUUGUGUGAAGCUGGAGGAAUCAAGGAUUCAGGCCGCGCUAUUGAGCCUCGAAAAAGAGUUUGUAUUUGUGGUCUGUUAAGAUAAUCUGUUGAUUUUUUUUAUCAAUAGAGAAAGCCGACACUGUGGCAGCUGUGGAAGGCUAAAGUCUGGAAGUCGUUCUGGUUAGGUUUUCAGACACCACCGUGGUCUUAGAACG